This 218-nucleotide long non-coding RNA is filed under the name Lathyrus oleraceus (garden pea). RNAcentral's name for it is "Pisum sativum (pea) long non-coding RNA (PSAT_LNC039213)". The record is from RNAcentral. Lineage: Eukaryota; Viridiplantae; Streptophyta; Magnoliopsida; Fabales; Fabaceae.
AAAAAUCGAAAAAUCCAAAAAAGAGAAACCCGAUGCGAUUCCAACGGUCGCCGUUUAAGAAACCCUUUUCACACACUCACAAGCUUACUCUUGGGCUUCCUUAUAAUGAGCCCAUUUAUUUAUUGUUUCAGGGUUUAGGCUCAUUCAAAUCUUUUGCCAGCUUUGGCUUUUCAGUUUAAAAACAUUUUCAAAAGGACGUGUCAGUCUCGAAGCCUCCC